Non-coding RNA from Cinara cedri, 2758 nucleotides. The record is from the annotation of a GenBank genome assembly. NCBI's taxonomy places the organism in Eukaryota, Metazoa, Arthropoda, Insecta, Hemiptera, Aphididae.
CAAUUAUUAAAAUAAAUUUGUAAUUAAAUCAAUGAUACAUAAAAUUAAAAUACUUCGAUAUCUAAUACUAAUUGAACUAACUAAUAAAGUAAUGAAAAAAAUAAUAUUUAAUUAAAUUACAUAUAAUACGAGUAUAUACUGCUCCCUACCAGCAAGGUCUGCGCAAGCCUAAGCUUAGUUAUAGCCGUUUUAUUAGGCGUGAAAACAAUUAAUAUUCAAUAAAAUAACACGUUAUGCAAUAAGGAAUUACAAUCAGCACGGUGAUUCUUUACCUUCUAUUGAAUAUAAAUUUUUUUCACAUCUAUUUUCUAGAAAUACAAAUUAAAUUAUAAUUAAAAAACUAUUAAUCGAAUAUAUAUGUAUGAUACAGUAAAAUUUUUAGAAUAAUAAUUUUUAAAAAAUGGUUACUUUGAAAAUUUUCUAAAUGAAUAGUUAUUUUUUUUUUUAUGUCAAGAAUGAAAAUAAAAAUUGUAAUUUUCUUCAAAUCGAUGCCCCCCUUGAAAACAAACCGAUGAAAAAAAAAAAAUUGAAAAAAUUGAAUAUUGAUAGCGCUAGAAGAAUCUGUCGAACAUGGUGGGGCUCACUGUAAUAUUGUAAAAUAAUUUACCUGUUUUCCCGUUUUUCCUCCGUUUUUCGGGUUUUCACAUUAGAUGAGAAAAUUGAAAAAUUAUCUCCCUAAAGUAUUCCUCCCCAGUGAGAUUUACUAUCACAUGUAAAAACGCUAAUAGUACACUUUAUAUUUUUAACAAUGUUAAUAAUUUCUUCGGGAAUCGUCGAUCAUAAUAAUCCUUAUAAUUUAUGACUAUGCCAGUCUUACUUUAUUGCUUUCGUAAUUUUUAUUUGCGCACUGCACCUCCGAUAGUAGUACUUGUUGGGCUCGUUGUGAUUUGACGCUGGCGGUUAUAUAGGUAAACAUUUUUUUUUAUGCUUAAUUUAUUUAUGUUUAUCGUUGGUUUUACAGUGACGUUUAUUUAUUUAUGUAUUAAUUUUAUAAUUUUAUAAUAUUAUCGUUAAAAAUACUGGGCAUUGCGCAAAUAAAUCAAUUUCGUUGAAAAUCUAUGAUAAAAAAAAAAAAAAAGCAUCAAAUCUUACUGGACUUGUCGUGAUACACAAAAAAGAUUAACUGUUUUUGUAUUAUUCCGCCGUAAUUUAUUUAUUGUUGAUCGUUUACCUCAUAGUAUUCUCUGUCGCUCUCAUCACUACUUGUAUCUUUUUAAAGUGAUUGUAGUAUGUGCUCACGUCGUUUUUAUCGACGAGACAUCAUCUUUUUUUACUUUAGUUAAAUUUGUCCACAACAUCCCUGCAUAAACGAUGCCAGAUUCAUUUCGAUUGGUUAAAGUUUCGACUUGUUGGCUUGAUUGUUGGUAAUUUCACUAUACAAAAUAAUAUUAACUAUUAAAUAGACCACGACCGAUAAAAUAGAAUGUAAGUAAUAAAUUAUUACGUUUCGUGCCUUUAAGAGGACGCCACACCGGUAUCUACUGUCCUCGGACAUAGAAAAUUCGCGUUCAUUAGGACACAUUUCAUAUUUUCAUGCCAUUAGUUUUAAUAUUAAAGUAAAUUCAUCUAUGGCAAACUUAGAAGUUAGAAGAUUAUCUGUGUUCUAGCGUUGAUGUUGAUUCGAUAUUUUAAUUUCUAAGUCAGAUAUAAUCAUUUUUGAAUCGUGAUAUUUACCAUACUCGUAUCCAGUGAUGUAUUUAGGGGAGUGCUAAAGAAGGCGAUCGCCCCAGGCGUCAUUUUUUAGGGGUGACAUCAGAUUUUUACUUACCCAUCUUCUGUUAAUGAACAAUAAGAUAAAUUUGCUAAUAUUUUUUUUUUUUUUAUCAUAUUUAAUAUUCUAAGAUUGUAACACCUUACACCACAGCUAUAGAGUAUAAACAAAAUUUAUAGAUAAUAGAGCUAACUAUAUAAUAUUAUCUUUAACUGUGUCUGAGCCACGAUCAAAGAUAUACAGGUUGGAAAUCGAGCUGUAAUAAAGUGAAGCACAAACCUUCUGAAAAAGUCAGCUGUUCCAAUUAAUCACUAGCGCCCGUUAAUUCCCAAUGUUAAAAAUUAUUACUUGUUAUUAUCAUAAAACAGUAUUAAACAAUUUCAUUAUAUACGAUAAAAAGAAAAUGUAUUAAUAUUUACAUAAUUUAAAAAUGUACGAACAUGAAACAACUUAUGACUAUUUUUUGGUGGCUGUGUGUUUGAAAAUGUAUUUCAGGUAUGACUGAUGAAAUGUAACAGUGAGAGCUGCAGUAACAAUGAUCGGUGUGUAUGUAUUCUACACUCUAGACAAAUAUAAAUUAUUACAUACAAUGUUAAUAUCUAUAUUUUUAUAUUAUAUUGAUACAUUAAAAUAAUUCAAAACAAAACCUUUCUCUUUUUUAACAAAUUUAAUCAAUUGUUUUUGGAAUCAUUUAUAUUGUUGACGCAAUAAGUAGCUUCUGUCUCCAAUAGAGUAUACAAUUAUUUAUUCAAUUGAUUUCAAUGGGGUGACUAAAAUACUGUAUAAUAUGAAAAUAUAUGUAUUAUAUAAACAAUUCUAUGUGUUUGUUAUAAAGUUGAACGUGUUGUUGGAAUAACACCUACACGCAAUUAUGGUCUUCUCAAACAAAUCUAUGAAAAACAGUUAUUACUGUAAUAACAGUUUUUACUAGUUAUUAUCGCAAUCGUAUAGAUAAUUAAAUAAUGUAAGUAUAUUUUUAACUGUGGUAAUUAGUUGUCACUAAUUCUUUAUAAUAAAUAUUAAAUAUGCAAGCUGUAACAGAAAGAG